UCAGGAUGAACGCUGGCGGCGUGCUUAACACAUGCAAGUCGAACGAUGAUCCCAGCUUGCUGGGGGAUUAGUGGCGAACGGGUGAGUAACACGUGAGUAACCUGCCCUUGACUCUGGGAUAAGCCUGGGAAACUGGGUCUAAUACCGGAUACGACCAUCUGGCGCAUGUCAUGGUGGUGGAAAGCUUUUGUGGUUUUGGAUGGACUCGCGGCCUAUCAGCUUGUUGGUGGGGUAAUGGCCUACCAAGGCGACGACGGGUAGCCGGCCUGAGAGGGUGACCGGCCACACUGGGACUGAGACACGGCCCAGACUCCUACGGGAGGCAGCAGUGGGGAAUAUUGCACAAUGGGCGCAAGCCUGAUGCAGCGACGCCGCGUGAGGGAUGACGGCCUUCGGGUUGUAAACCUCUUUCAGUAGGGAAGAAGCGAAAGUGACGGUACCUGCAGAG
This 448-nucleotide ribosomal RNA is filed under the name soil bacterium 13G-05. Its description in RNAcentral is "bacterial SSU rRNA". It matches the Rfam family "Bacterial small subunit ribosomal RNA", at positions 24 to 486 of the family's 1533-position model. The record is from RNAcentral.